RNAcentral lists this non-coding RNA (96 nucleotides) under marine eukaryotic metagenome. RNAcentral describes it as "Pyrrolysine insertion sequence mttB". It matches the Rfam family "Pyrrolysine insertion sequence mttB". The record is from RNAcentral.
GGCUGAUUCAAAAUUACCUGAUAAUCAGGCCGGUCACGAAAAAGGAACUACAGUUACUCUUGCUGCCCAAGCUGGUGCAAAUAUAGUUUUCGAAUC